UCCAGUGCUCCUAUGACUUUCUGUUGAAUUGUGUAAUUCUGAAAUUUUAUUGUUAAUUAUCUGAAUUCCUGUUUGCUGUGUCUCUAUGGAUUCUUGUAGCCUAUUAAACCUGUCAUUAUGCUUUUGUCUAAUCUUCUGAAGUUCCUGUAAUUCUUUGUCUGUUUGUUUCUUGGCUUGUUCUGCAUUUUUCCUGACCUCCUUCCUUAUCUCUUGAAGAGCUCUGUAUAUUAAUCUUUUAUAUUCUACCACUGGUUAUUUAAGGAAGUUAUCUUCAUCUGGAAGACUUCUUGAUUCUUUGUUUUGGGAGCUUGCUGAAGCCAUCGUGAUCUGCCUCUUUAUGCUGCUCGAGUGAGCUAAUUUGAUUAUUGGUGCAUUUGAAGAUCUGACAUCCUGUCACCAGGAGGUUAGAGCCGUUACUAGAAUGACUGUGGUCAAGGAAACCCAGUAAAGAGGAAAAUGGGAGCUGCUCACAUCAAGUUCUGAAGUCACCUGUUUGCCAAGAGAUGUGACUUGGCUAUUUCUUUUUUUGGAGUCCUGGUGGAGCAGUGGUUAAGAGCUCGGCGGUAACCAAAAAGGUCAGCAGUUCAAAUCCACCAGGUGCUCCUUGGAAAUCCUAUGGGGCAGUUCUACUCUGUCCUAUAGGGUCACUUUGAGUCAGAAUCCACCUGAUGGCAACGGGAAAACGGGAAUUCAUUUUUCUGGUGUGAGAGAUAAGCUAUAGAGGAUAACUGUGCCUUGCCCAAUAUCACUUGGUAACUCUGAAGCUCUGUGCCUCUCAUGAAAAGCAACAAGGUGUGUGUGUAUGUGUAGGGGAGCCAGCAGGUAACAGCUGUCAUUGAUAUCACUGCAAAGUGUUUAACCCAAUACCCUCUUGUCAUGGAUUGAAUUAUGUACCCCCCAAAAAAUGUGUGUAUCAAUUUGGUUAGGCCAGGAUUCCCAGUAUUCUGUGGUUGUUCUCCAUUUUGUGAUUGUAACUUUAUGUUGAAAGGAUUAGAGUGGGAUUGUACCACAACCCUUACCCAGGUCAGAUCCGUCAUUCAAUGUACAGGGAGUUUCCCUGGGGUGUGGUCUGCACCACUUUUUAUCUCUCAAGAAAUAAAAAGGAAAGGGAAACAUGCAGAGAGUUGGGAACCUCAUACCACCAAGAAAGAAGCACCAGGAGCAGAGUGCAUCCUUUGGACACGGGGUCCCUGUGCCUGAGAAGCUCUUCGACAAGGGGAAGAUCGAGGACAAGGACCUUCCUCCAGAGACAGCAGAGAGAGAAAGCCUUCCCCUGGAGCCAAUGCCCUGAAUUUAGACUUGUAACCUAUUAGACUGUGAGAAAAUAAAUUUCUCUUUUUUAAAGCCAUCCACUUGUGGUAUCUCUGUUAUGGGAGCACUAAAUGACUACGACACCUCCACUAUUCUCCUCUCUUCACUCCAUCAAAUCUUUCCCCUUUAAAAAAAGACCACUUAUCAGUUAUUUACACCUUAUUGUGAAUUUAACUUGCACAAUUUUUCUAGGGCUAUUUGGUUUUAAACCUUAUUCCUUCUGUAAAUCCAAUUUUGGUUGGUGGUACCA
Loxodonta africana (African savanna elephant) is the source of this 1561-nucleotide long non-coding RNA. RefSeq lists it as uncharacterized. Lineage: Eukaryota; Metazoa; Chordata; Mammalia; Proboscidea; Elephantidae. The transcript has 3 exons. The record is from RefSeq and is a predicted model, not a curated record.